AAUUGAAUAAGAAUGCGAAGUCAUAUGUUAUAGGACUAGUGGGGUAUAAGAGCUUGUUACAACAGGCUCUUCAUAAUCAUUUGGUUUGAAAAUGAUACUAGCUACAUGUAGAAGUCUGUAUUCUUGAUUUAGAAAAAUGUAAUUGCAAGAAAAAAAUUACACAUUACUUGGAAUACUUUAGAUCAUUCAGGUAGUCUUUAUUUAGUAUGUACAAAAGAACAGCC
RNAcentral lists this long non-coding RNA (224 nucleotides) under Mytilus galloprovincialis (Mediterranean mussel). Lineage: Eukaryota; Metazoa; Mollusca; Bivalvia; Mytilida; Mytilidae. The record is from RNAcentral.